RNAcentral lists this ribosomal RNA (432 nucleotides) under uncultured bacterium. RNAcentral describes it as "partial 16S ribosomal RNA". It matches the Rfam family "Bacterial small subunit ribosomal RNA", at positions 338 to 795 of the family's 1533-position model. The record is from RNAcentral.
CCUACGGGUGGCAGCAGUGGGGAAUAUUGGACAAUGGGCGCAAGCCUGAUCCAGCCAUGCCGCGUGAGUGAUGAAGGCCUUAGGGUUGUAAAGCUCUUUCGUCAGGGAAGCGGUACCUGAAGAAGAAGCCCCGGCUAACUUCGUGCCAGCAGCCGCGGUAAUACGAAGGGGGCUAGCGUUGCUCGGAAUCACUGGGCGUAAAGCGCACGUAGGCGGAUCUCUAAGUCGGAGGUGAAAUCCUGGAGCUCAACUCCAGAACUGCCUUCGAUACUGGGGACCUUGAGUCCGGGAGAGGUGAGUGGAACUCCGAGUGUAGAGGUGAAAUUCGUAGAUAUUCGGAAGAACACCAGUGGCGAAGGCGGCUCACUGGCCCGGACUGACGCUGAGGUGCGAAAGCGUGGGGAGCAAACAGGAUUAGAUACCCUUGUAGUC